CCUACGGGUGGCAGCAGUGAGGAAUAUUGGUCAAUGGACGAGAGUCUGAACCAGCCAAGUAGCGUGAAGGAUGACUGCCCUAUGGGUUGUAAACUUCUUUUAUAAAGGAAUAAAACGAGGCACGUGUGCCUUUUUGCAUGUACUUUAUGAAUAAGGAUCGGCUAACUCCGUGCCAGCAGCCGCGGUAAUACGGAGGAUCCGAGCGUUAUCCGGAUUUAUUGGGUUUAAAGGGAGCGUAGAUGGGUUGUUAAGUCAGUUGUGAAAGUUUGCGGCUCAACCGUAAAAGUGCAAUUGAUACUGGCAGUCGUGAGUACAGUUGAGGUAAGCGGAAUUCGUGGUGUAGCGGUGAAAUGCUUAGAUAUCACGAAGAACCCCGAUUGCGAAGGCAGCUUACUAAACUGUGACUGACAUUGAUGCUCGAAAGUGUGGGUAUCAAACAGGAUUAGAUACCCUGGUAGUC
Molecule: ribosomal RNA, 460 nt
Filed under: uncultured bacterium
Lineage: Bacteria
Description: partial 16S ribosomal RNA
Rfam family: Bacterial small subunit ribosomal RNA
Source: RNAcentral